This 428-nucleotide ribosomal RNA is filed under the name uncultured Acidobacterium sp. RNAcentral's name for it is "bacterial SSU rRNA". It matches the Rfam family "Bacterial small subunit ribosomal RNA", at positions 958 to 1385 of the family's 1533-position model. The record is from RNAcentral. Lineage: Bacteria; Pseudomonadati; Acidobacteriota; Terriglobia; Terriglobales; Acidobacteriaceae.
AACGCGAAGAACCUUACCUGGGCUCGAACGGCUUCUCAACGCCGGUGGAAACAUCGGUAUCCCUUAAAAGAGUGGAGUCGAGGUGCUGCAUGGCUGUCGUCAGCUCGUGUCGUGAGAUGUUGGGUUAAGUCCCGCAACGAGCGCAACCCUUGUCCUGUGUUGCCAUCAUUCAGUUGGGAACUCGCAGGAGACCGCCAGGGAUAACCUGGAGGAAGGUGGGGAUGACGUCAAGUCCUCAUGGCCUUUAUGUCCAGGGCUACACACGUGCUACAAUGGACGGUACAAAGCGCAGCAAACCCGCGAGGGGGAGCCAAUCGCAAAAAACCGUUCUCAGUUCGGAUUGCAGGCUGCAACUCGCCUGCAUGAAGCUGGAAUCGCUAGUAAUGGCAGAUCAGCACGCUGCCGUGAAUACGUUCCCGGGCCUUGUA